UAGUCCACGCCGUAAACGAUGGACACUAGGUGUUGGCCGUAUCGACCCGGUCAGUAUCGAAGCAAACGCGUUAAGUGUCCCGCCUGGGGAGUACGCACGCAAGUGUGAAACUCAAAGGAAUUGACGGGGGCCCGCACAAGCGGUGGAGUAUGUGGUUUAAUUCGAUGCAACGCGAAGAACCUUACCAGGGUUUGACAUCCUAUGAACUUUCUAGAGAUAGAUUGGUGCCUUCGGGAACAUAGAGACAGGUGGUGCAUGGCUGUCGUCAGCUCGUGUCGUGAGAUGUUGGGUUAAGUCCCGCAACGAGCGCAACCCUUGUCCCUAGUUGCCAGCACAUAAUGGUGGGAACUCUAACGAGACUGCCCGCGUAAGCGGAGAGGAAGGUGGGGACGACGUCAAAUCAUCAUGGCCUUUAUGCCUAGGGCUACACACGUGCUACAAUGGCAGGUACAGAGGGUUGCGAAGGGGUGACCUGGAGCUAAUCUCAGAAAGCCUGUCCCAGUUCGGAGUUG
Molecule: ribosomal RNA, 512 nt
Filed under: uncultured bacterium
Lineage: Bacteria
Description: bacterial SSU rRNA
Rfam family: Bacterial small subunit ribosomal RNA
Source: RNAcentral